RNAcentral lists this long non-coding RNA (1326 nucleotides) under Zostera marina. RNAcentral's name for it is "long non-coding RNA (ZMAR_LNC005334)". The record is from RNAcentral. Lineage: Eukaryota; Viridiplantae; Streptophyta; Magnoliopsida; Alismatales; Zosteraceae.
GUUUUGUUAAACACUGACCAAAUAAAAUUGAUCGAACGUAAAAGGUGUAGUUCAAUACAUAGCUAAAGUGAGUGACAAUAAAAAAGUUAUUGAUCGAAUUAAACAAAGACGGACUGGAUCAGUUCGGUGCACUGAACCUCGACACAUAAGAAAACUAGUUGUAUCAAACCGUUAUCGAUCUCCUGCUCUAUAUUCAAUCAGCCGUAUCAAGCCCUUAAUCCAAACCAGCUUAACCCAUUAUUGUUUUCAGAAGAAUAUCCUCACUGUGCGCACUUCUAAAUUGGAAAUCCAUCGACCAUCGGACUUUCAGGGGAAUUCUGUUUAGUCGAUUUGGAAUUUCUAGAUCCCUAUCAGAAACUCAAAAAAAAAAAUUUGACAUAAGCAAUAUCAAUCUUUCAAUUAAAGUACAAUUGGAUGACACAUUUAGCAUGUAUUAUGUAUUAAACUACAACUGAAGAUUUCAAUUACAUAAUGAUAAGCAUUUUUUUUGUUUUGGUGAUUAGUUUUAUUGCUAUAUCAUUGACAAGGAAGGGUCCGAUAAGGUUCAAAGACUAGGCGACUAAUCUGGACCCUAGGUCGGAGGUGGUCCAAUAAGGGCCUAGGCCCAAGAAAAAUAGUAUAAAUAAAUGGAAGAUACAUGGUUGAAGCUUGCAGCAAGAGUUUUGCCAAAUUAACUAAGGGAUUGGAUUACUCCAGUAUAAUCAAUCCAUCAUUAUUCUGUAAUCUGUAAUGAUGUAGGUUGGAAGUGUUGGGCAAAGUGUUCUGAUAUAUAUCUUAUCAAUGGGAUCCAUACUUUCAUUUCAGAUCUACCCAUUUUAUGUGCUCUCUAUACUCUCUAUCUCGAAGAACCCCCAAUAUUAGAAAUAAGAAACAAGUUGGGAACAAAUUCGCAAAAUCGCGGUCCAACGACACAUUACAUUAGUCAUGGAAGAUGGGUUUAGAAAGAACCUGCACCCAACCAGGUUUUUCUUUCUUUCUUUCUUUCCUUGUUUUUCUGUUUCCCAGUUUUCCCUGUACAACUUUAUUAGCAAUAUUAAUUUGGGGAUACUCGAUCUCUAUCUCUUUCUAUAGUCACUGAUAUUGAUGAUUAUUGAUGAUUUUAUUCAACUUCUAAAUGAUCUAGAAAUGAAUUUGAAAAAAAACUUGUCUAAUUUUUGUCAGUUUUAGAUUUGAUUCCAACUCAAGUAAGAAGAGAAAGCUAGCAAUCAAUGAGGUCGAGACAUUACAGCAACAAGGUAAUACAAAAUACAGAAUCCGACGUAAUCGGUCUCACAAUUCUGAAUCCGACGAUGUGGAAGACGAAGAACACUCAGUGUCGAAUGAGUC